AAUGGAAAGGCAAGGAAAACUUGAUAGAAUGCAUGCAUAUGGUUUGAAGCAGAGGCAGUUGUUCCAUCUUGUUCGAAAAAAGAUGGAUGGUUAUUUUGGUCAACUUGUGUUCAUGCAAUGAAAGCUACCUAUAAUAAUUUUUCAAUCAUUGACUCAUGCAACAAACUUAGACUUAAAAGAGUUAAAGUAACUAGAGAUAAAGAAGUAUGUGCAGGAUUUAAUUUCACAACUAAAGAGGACUCCAAAGAAGAAUUAAAGUUCUAGUGGAUCAAAGAUCAAGGAAUGAUUUGGUUUUAACUGGUUUGCAUCUUAUGAACGAAGUA
Molecule: long non-coding RNA, 323 nt
Organism: Hydra vulgaris (swiftwater hydra)
Lineage: Eukaryota; Metazoa; Cnidaria; Hydrozoa; Anthoathecata; Hydridae
Source: RefSeq, a predicted model, not a curated record